AAAUUGAAGAGUUUGAUCAUGGCUCAGAUUGAACGCUGGCGGCAGGCCUAACACAUGCAAGUCGAACGGUAGCACAGAGAGCUUGCUCUCGGGUGACGAGUGGCGGACGGGUGAGUAAUGUCUGGGAAACUGCCUGAUGGAGGGGGAUAACUACUGGAAACGGUGGCUAAUACCGCAUAACGUCGCAAGACCAAAGAGGGGGACCUUCGGGCCUCUUGCCAUCAGAUGUGCCCAGAUGGGAUUAGCUUGUUG
This 252-nucleotide ribosomal RNA is filed under the name Salmonella enterica. RNAcentral describes it as "partial 16S ribosomal RNA". It matches the Rfam family "Bacterial small subunit ribosomal RNA", at positions 1 to 251 of the family's 1533-position model. Lineage: Bacteria; Pseudomonadati; Pseudomonadota; Gammaproteobacteria; Enterobacterales; Enterobacteriaceae. The record is from RNAcentral. RNAcentral also lists the same sequence under 1 other name.